RNAcentral lists this small nuclear RNA (134 nucleotides) under Mollisia scopiformis. RNAcentral's name for it is "Phialocephala scopiformis U4 spliceosomal RNA". It matches the Rfam family "U4 spliceosomal RNA". Rfam says of the family: U4 small nuclear RNA (U4 snRNA) is a component of the major U2-dependent spliceosome. The structure of U4 snRNA from yeast and human has been reported. Lineage: Eukaryota; Fungi; Ascomycota; Leotiomycetes; Helotiales; Mollisiaceae. The record is from Rfam by way of RNAcentral.
AUCUUAGUGCAAGGGUAUUACGCAUAGCAGUGAGAGCCGCGCUCGAGCUUGCGUUUUUGCUAGUUGAAAACUACUCCCUGACCACUCCUACCAUUCAAGACAAUUUGGUAGGGAAUCUUUGGAACACAAAUUUU